Molecule: long non-coding RNA, 798 nt
Filed under: Cavia porcellus (domestic guinea pig)
Lineage: Eukaryota; Metazoa; Chordata; Mammalia; Rodentia; Caviidae
Description: lncRNA (ENSCPOG00000036697.1)
Source: RNAcentral
CCCUUCCCUUUGCUGGGUCCUCGGGCUGCCUCUACUGUCCCUAACUACCAGCAUCUUUUCAGCUUCUAGAUUGUUACUUUGAAGCCUACCAACAUGCUUUGGACCCCGAGGAGAGGUUUGCCUUAGCACAAGUGAUAACUGACAUUAUGCACCAACGCCCCAAAUUCGAUCUAGACCACCCUUAUUUCAUUAAGGCCUACAAAGAAGAGUGCGUCUGCCUGAGGCUUCACCUGCAGCUAGUGAGGAGCAUCCUCAACCAACAAAUAGAGAAUCAGACAGAAUACGUCCAGAGGCUUUGGAGAGACGAUCACCCAGAUGUUCAGAAUACAUUCGGAAUACCCCUUAACAUAGUUUGUCAGCAACCAAAUUCUAUCAGUAACAUCUGCUGUUUUCAGCUAAAGUGAUGGGAGACCCCUUCCUUGUGGAGGAGAUCGGCCUGCGUGCACUCGGGUCCGCCGUGGGCGAAGGGCACACCCAGGGCCACGAUGCUCGCGUCCUGCUCCUGGAGACCUUCGCCAAGCUUCUGGAACUGCUGACCCUCCGCCACCGGCUGGUGGACAUGAGCCUGGAGAGUGCACACCUAGCUCGGCUCUAUAAGAAACUGGCACAAGAGAUGGGUUUUGAAGAGUUCCACUUGUAUCUGAGACCUGUUCAGUUUGAAUUUGCAGCACAUAGAGACAAGACGGACCCAUCAGCGCCUGUCUUUAUGACUUCCCUGCUGGAGGACAGUGGACGGGUAGACAGGUGAGCUUGACAGGGUCAGAUACUCUAAGGGAAAAAAGAAGAGAAAGAAAGUUC